GCGCGCCGCUGCUUCCCCUUCCGGCGGGCGCUGACCUUGUCCGGGCGCCGCCGCUCGUCCCGCGGAGCCGCAGCCAUGGUGGCGUACUGGCGACAGGCCGGGCUCAGUUACAUCCGCUACUCCCAGAUCUGCGCCCAGGUCGUCAGAGCGGCCAUGAAGCCGCAGUACAAAGCAGAGGCAGAGAGGGCGGCAAUGGCCAGUGUGAAAACCGUGAAGCCCAAGAAGGAAUAGAGACAAGUGCAACAGUGUCCUGCUUCACAGGAAAAAAUCCAGUGUGCAUCCAGAAUGGGCAUUGGGUUUGUGUUCCCUUAGACACUUCUGCUGCUGACUUGAACAUGAGAUCUUACAUCCUUCACAGUGUAUAAUAAACUCUUCUUGGCAUCCUGGUACUGCUGGUACUCAGACACAAGGUCGUUGGUGUUACCUUCUGCUUCAGAAAACUCCAUCUCAUCCAUCCCUUCACCGGUGUACCAAUGGAGAAAUGCUUUUCUCCUGAACAUAGCUGAGAACUGUUCAGAAACCCUGAUGAAGAGCUCCUGAAUGGCUGUGUUAUUGCCAAUGAAGGUAGCUGCCAUCUUCAAGCCUCUUGGUGGUAUGUCACACACAGCCACUUUGACGUUAUUAGGGAUCCACUCCACAAAGUAGGAACUAUUCUUUGUCUGAACAGCCAGCAACUGCUCAUCCACUUCUCUGGUCGACAUUCGGCCUCUGAAGAUGCACGCCACGGUCAAGUACCGCCCACGCCGAGGGUCGCAGGCUGCCAUCAUGUUCCGGGCAUCAAACAUCUGUUGAGUAAGCUCUGGCACCGAGAGGGCUCUAUACUGUUGGCUACCUCGAGCUGUCAGCGGAGCAAAGCCUGGCAUAAAGAAAUGCAGGCGAGGAAAAGGCACCAUGUUAACAGCCAGCUUCCUCAGGUCUGCGUUCAGCUGGCCGGGAAAACGGAGUGAGGUGGUGACACCGCUCAUCGUUAGGGACACCAAGUGGUUGAGGUCGCCAUAGGUGGGAUUGGUGAGCUUUAAAGUUCUAAAACAUAUAUCGUAUAGAGCUUCAUUGUCAAUGCAGAAGGUUUCAUCUGUGUUCUCUAUUAGUUGAUGGAUGGAGAGGAUGGCAUUAUACGGCUCUACGACUGUGUCGGACACUUUGGGUGAAGGCACGACACUGAAAGUGUUCAUAAUCCUGUCGGGAUAUUCUUCUCUGAUUUUGUUGAUGAGGAGCGUGCCCAUACCUGAGCCUGUACCACCACCAAGUGAAUGGAUGAGCUGGAAUCCCUGGAGGCAGUCACAGCUCUCACACUCAUUCCUGACCACAUCCAUGACAUUUUCAAUCAAUUCAGCACCUUCUGUGUAAUGGCCCUUAGCCCAGUUGUUUCCAGCACCUGAAUUGCCUGUAACCAGAAAGACAGAAAGAACAGCCACAAAGUUAACAAGAGAAAUGAUUAAAGGGAGCUAAAAGGCCAUUUUAGGACAGUUGGCCCUAGUUAGCUUGCUGACAGCAUGCUGUACAUACCGUGAAUAAAAUUGUCCGGUCGAAACAGUGGGCCUAUUUUGCUGGAUCGUACACUGUCCAUCGUACCAGGCUCCAGGUCCACCAAGAUCGAACGGGGCACGUACUUAUGGGCUAGGACAAAACAAAAGGAACAUGACCAAUUACUGUUAGAAGCCAGAAAGAAAGGCUUAUCAUCUACUCUCAAAACAUCCAAUCCAUCUAAAGGCAUUUGGGCUUUGUUUUUAAUUAUGACUUCUUUUAACCUUCAUGUUGGCUCUGCAAAUUGCCAACAGCCUCAGAGUGCUGAGCACUUACAGUAAGCCUCAUUGAAGUACACGUUGAUGCGCUCAAGCUGCAGUGAUGCAUCCCCAUAGUAGUUUCCAGUGAUGUCAAUUCCAUGUUCAUCACCUAUCACCUCCCAGAACUGAAAAAGGAAAAAGAUAUUCAAUACACUCAUCAAAAGGUUGUUUCGUUUGUGUGUGUUUUUUUUUUCCCAGCACAAUGUGUUCAGCUCCAGGCUCAUGCCUGGCUGCACACAGACUGGGAACUGUGCCUGAAGUGGGGGGAUGUUUUGCUAUUGAUGUAUUAGAGCAGGUAUCUGCUUCUCCUUCCCUCCCCAAAUAAGUUCAAGGCAAAAUUUAGUAGGCUAGUUAUGCUACUUAGCUAUCACCCAUGCACCAAGUGGAAGCCCUCAAGUUGUUCCCUUUGCAGUAAAUGAGAAUUGAUAUUAGUUAAAUAACUCAGGUGCUAGUUGUUAAUGAGCUUAACAAAAAAGUCAGGGCUGGAGGUGGACUGGUGAGGGUUGCUUUGAGGCUGUCCUGUACAAGUGGGACUGUGGCACAGCAAAGCUGCCUCAAACACAUUUGUAAGUGAGCAAUGCUUUCCACAAACAGAUGUUCGUCCUAAGUGUCCUAUCUUGACAUUCAUAUGGAUGUCCUAUACUGGGGCUCUUAUCUAGGCAGCAGACACAGCACUGUUAAUGUAGACACACCCACACUCUAUAAUGACCAGGCUACUUUAAUUUUAAAGGUCUCCUGGUUUAGCAUCCAGUCAUGUUUUGAGUGUACAAAUACACCAUUGCCAGCAUGUGUGUGGUGAUUAGUGUGUCCUUUUCUACAAGUAUUAGACAUAAGCAGUUUCCAGAUCAAAGCCAACAGAAAAGAACACAAGUCUUUUGACUGUCACACUGGCUGCAUUCAAACUAUCUGAGUCUAAUAAGACAUUCCCUGGCCAUCCACAGCUUCAGGCUCCAAUAAAAGGAAUCAAGAUGACAUUUGUGUGAGCAAGAAAUGAACACAAUGGCACCAUCCUUCAGCUAUCGUGCCUCCAACGACCUUCCAGCCACAAAUUAACACAGAUUUUUUUCCUGACAACUUUCUACUUGUCAAUAAAAAAAAGGACAGCGUAGCAAAAACCAA
This is an RNA transcript of Colius striatus (speckled mousebird), 2903 nucleotides long. It is a transcript of the gene named ATP synthase F1 subunit epsilon, with no coding region annotated. The transcript is spliced from 4 exons. The record is from RefSeq and is a predicted model, not a curated record. NCBI's taxonomy places the organism in Eukaryota, Metazoa, Chordata, Aves, Coliiformes, Coliidae.